Long non-coding RNA from Equus caballus (horse), 2265 nucleotides. The record is from Ensembl. Lineage: Eukaryota; Metazoa; Chordata; Mammalia; Perissodactyla; Equidae.
UGCUCCACGUGGUGAAACUACCUCCUGUCACGACCUGUGAGCCUCCCUUCGCAGCUUUUAAACACCCUCCAGCCUUUUGUUUCCAUGGAGAGACUGAGUGCUGGUCUAUCUUCACCACUGGAAGAGAUUUAAUAAAUAAAGUCAUGCUCGCUUGUUUAAUCUUGACUGGGGCGAUUUUUGCUUUGACGAUUCCCAAGUAUAUGAACUCCGGGAGGGCUGAAGAAUAGAAGCCAAUGAGGAAAUUUACCACAAGUGGCUUCAGUGGGUUAUUGGAGUUCCUCCCUAGGUUAGUGAGAGGGAAUCAGCUCAGAGAGAACCUUCUUCUGGAGGCCCUUUCUUUGUAGUUUAAGAAAAAAAGAGUUUUUCCUCGGGAAAUGUUCAAGGACCUUCAAGUUAACUGAGAAGUAAAUAAAUUCUCUGCAGGGAUUCAAAGAUAACAGCAUGGUAGGAAGUGCAGAAUCUUACGCAUUUUUAUAGGUAAGUUGGAGGUCUCUCUAGAUUCCUCUGGCAUGACAACUAGCAUUGGUCCAUUUCUAAAGUGAUGAUGCUUGGUUAUCCAGUAUGCGAGUUGUUAUGGUUAUUAACACAAGAGCCCGGUGAUGAUGACCAAAGUAGGAUCAAUCUGAGGAUGAGUCUGUGGGGUGAUUUGUCAAUUAAAUUCUGUAAGAUAGACCACAUUUGAUUUAUUCAUUUUAAAAGUAAUCAGAUUUUACUGAAUGAAGGCUCUCCGUGCAAUUGCUUUAGAAGCAGAUAGCAUGAAGCAACUUAAACUGAAAUAUUUAUAUCCUGAAGGGAGGCAGAAUUUGCCAUCCCAAUAUAUACCUCUACGGUAUAAGGAUUAUUUUAGGCUGAUUACUAUUUUUUUUUUUUUUGGCUUUUUAUUUUUAAGUAUGCACUUUUUGUUUUUCCUUUGGUGAGGAAGAUUGGCCCUGAGCUAACAUCUCUUGCCAAUCUUGCUCUAUUUUAUGUGGGAUGCCACCACAGCCUGGCUCGACUAGUGGUGCUAGAUCCAUGCCUGAGAUCCAAAACUGUGAAUCCUGGGCUGCCAUAGUGGAGCAUGCAAACUUAACCACUACACCACCAGGCUGGCCCCACAAACUAAUUUUUGAGGAUUGUUUUAGCAGUGUCUGGAGGGAACACUACUGGACAUGAUGAGAUGGGCAGAGGUGUUGGUGCCACUUAUGUAAACAGUAAUCUUUACUAUACACAUUAAAGGUUUUGUUCUUAUUAUCUUUAAAUUAAAUCUGGGUAUAGGGCAUUGCUCCAGUCUCUGAACAUACCCAGUAAACCAAAGACUAUUGGGAACUAAGACCCAGUGUCUGCCGCACCCAGGAACCAGUCCUACAUAACUAGCCUGUAGUCUUUGUUCUGUAAGAUGGGCUUUAAGGAUGCGAGUCCACCGUCUUCCAUCUUUGAUGGCAAAAACGAAUAAGCUUCUUGUACUUCACUGACUUGCCUCCUGACUUUUUGGCUAGUUUUGCCACAAGCAGAAUGAACCUGUUGCUCAGUAUCAGGGAACGUGGGCUCUCUCUGUGCACAGUGAGAAGCCAUUGGACCAUCACGAGUAGAAGAGAAGCAACACAUGGGUGGACUCCUGACUUUUAUCUUCCAUCAAAGACCUAAAGGGCUCAUCUUCUUUGGAGAUAACUUUGGGACAGAAGGAGCUCAAAGGAGUGUUCCUCAGUGUGAUCUACAUACUGAGGUGUAAUUAUUAGAAAUGUACAUUUCCCAGGUGUAUUUGCAUUUGAAGAUGUAUCAAAAUCUUAGUCAAUGAUAUUUGGUGAGGCAAACAAGCACUCCCCUAGGAACGUUCAGGAUGUGUUUUCUGAGAGGAAACCCUUUAAAAACAUAAAUUAGGCAAAUUUCCCUGGAUAUAUAAUGUUACUCCUCUUCAUUCACUUGGUCACCUCAACCCCUGUCUGAUCCAGUGCUACAACUAAAUGGCUGAAAGGAAACGCCUAAUUCAGAUAGGAAACGCAGGUAAAAAGAAAGAGAGAGAAUGAGACAGAGAGAAAUAGAGACAGAGAAGGAGGAAGGAAGGAAGAAAGAGAAUGAGUGUGGCUUGGGAAUCAGACACCAGGAAGAGAAUACCACAUGGUAAAAGUCAGCCUGAAGAACGCUUAGAUUUGACAUCCCUUUGUUGACGUGAUUCUUGAAAGGCUGAUGUAGCUGAAUUUUCACAAUCUUAAUUCCUCCUGGUAUUUUGAAUCUGAAAUGAUGAAUCUGAUCAUUUGAAAUUGCCUGGUUGCCUUCCUCCCAUCCCCA